GUAUUUCUCUACCUUUGUGUGGCCUGUUCUUCUUGCUGUUAUUUUGUACUUCCUCCUACAUAUCAAGCAACUAUAAGUGGCAUGAGUACGCGUGGCGCUGAGAGCGAUGACUGAGUGUGUGUUUGCCAGAGUGCGAGAGGAAGCGCUGCGAACGCUCAAACGGAAGCAACGGUCUCGUGAGGAAUCGAGAUGCGUGGUUUAGAUCUCGGGCCGAAACAGCAACAUCUGAAAACCAAAGCAGUCUCAAGUCGUUCCUCAGAAGCUCCGUUAAUCGGGGCUGAAGAUGCAGGGACGUCAAUGUCAAACGAUGCCCUCGUGUCCAAUGGCAGCGACCCGCCGCGUGUGAGCCGUAGACGUCCAAUCAUAGCGUCUCUGCGUCUUCCGUCUUUAGAAAGGUGACGUUCUCUCCCGCUUUAAACCACAACAACUAGCAUCAGAGUUUUCCACCACAUUUCACUGCACGGUUCAACUCUGGUCUUGAACAUAUCUUCUUGCCAAAGCUCAAGAGUCAAUAUCUGAUGCAUCAGCCAGCAUAACGCAGACCAGCUUAUUGGUUCUCUUGAAAUUGUGCCUUUCAAAGGGCUGACUAGGAAAAGCAGAGGCAAGUAAAACUAGAGAGGCUUCCAUGAGUUAAAAGCAACGUGUGAACCCGCCCUGUCGCUCUGAUCAUCUCCAAUGUCGGCCAGCGAAUAUACGAAUAUCGUAGCAUGAACAACAAGUUCAGUUCAGAUCUAACGACGCACACGGAUGAAAAAAAGCAUCUGGUUCUGUCAAUGAAGUCAAAGCUUCACGAGUUAAAGCGGCAUUCUCUGUAGUGACCAGCAGGGGGCGACUCCUCUGCUCCCAUAGACGUCUAUGAGGAAAUGACUCUACUUCUCUGUAGUGACCAGCAGGGGGCGACUCCUCUGCUCCCAUAGACGUCUAUGAGGAAAUGACUCUACUUCUCUGUAGUGACCAGCAGGGGGCGACUCCUCUGCUCCCAUAGACGUCUAUGAGGAAAUGACUCUACUUCUCUGUAGUGACCAGCAGGGGGCGACUCCUCUGCUCCCAUAGACGUCUAUGAGGAAAUGACUCUACUUCUCUGCAGUGACCAGCAGGGGGCGACUCCUCUGCUCCCAUAGACGUCUAUGAGGAAAUGACUCUACUUCUCUGUAGUGACCAGCAGGGGGCGACUCCUCUGCUCCCAUAGACGUCUAUGAGGAAAUGACUGAUUUAUUCCCUCAGUAAACAUUGUAAACACGAGUUUAUGGUCUCAGUCUCUAGUUUCACGUUGUCUUCAACGCAACAUGUUCAUUAAUUCAGUAAAUUAUUUAUGGUCCGUUUAGAGUCAAACAGACCAUAAAGCAGCUUUGGGGCGGGGCUACACGUUGAUAGACAGGUCUCUUGUGGUCACUUAUGUCCACAAACCAAUGGGUGAUUCCAUUAUAGCUACCUCCACCUCGUAUAUACAGUUUACAGGUGAAACGUCUUUGUUAAGAUGACUUUACGGCUAACUGGCCAAACUAACAGCCUGUUGUCUCAAACAAGAAUCAGCACAUGAAAGAUCGAGACUAACUUGAUGUGUGAUAUUUUCCUUUUAAUUCAGAAACAUCAUCUGUGUGUCAAAUCAAACAGUCUACUAUGCACAUAAAUAAACAUUUCCUUCCCCAUGAAGCGUCGGCGCCGGAACAGUCGCAGAUCUUCUUCAGUCCAACAUUUCUCCAGUACUUCUGGUCCAUUUACGUUUGCUGUUGUUCACAAACUCAUGAGGAAAUAAUGGAAAUAUCAGAUAUCGUCUAGAUAUUGAGAGGUGAGAUGAGACUCAGGUUUCACAAUAAAAGCCUUCUAACGGAAGUGAAGCGAUCCUGGUCAUGAGGGUUUUAAUGUGAAAGGGCAAAAGAGGAAAAACAAGGUAACAAGGAGAACAAGAGAAUAGUUCUGACUGAAAUACGAUAUCACUUUUAGAACCAUUAAAGACGUUCCUCUCUCUAGAGACGCACGCGGGCAUCUAUUUGAGCGUUUGCAGUGUUUCCUGUUUUAUUGUCCUGUUUUCUGCUGUGGUGAAAUGUUCUUGUGGACCCUUAAAGCUGCUAUCCUUGUACUGUGUAGAUCAGAGACGUCCAGCCGUGUCCCUGAAACCCUACAAACGUCCUCCAUUACUGUCCAAGUUCCUCACAUAGGCACCGAGACAGAGCUCAGAACUCCUCGCCGGCCCGGUUUGUGCCUUCUACGGGAAUCCACCUUUUAACAAUGGACUACCUUUCAUUAAGGAACUUUGAACUGGUCCUGGAUCUGUCUCUGUCUAGUCCUGGUCCUCUAUGUGAACCAGUCUCAUUUUAGUCCUGGUCCUCUAUGUGAACCAGUAUCACUUUAGUCCUGAUCCACUAUAUGAACCAGUCUUAUUUUAGUCCUGGGCCUCUAUAUGAUCCAGUAUCACUUUAGUCCUGAUCCACUAUAUGAACCAGUCUUAUUUUAGUCCUGGGCCUCUAUAUGAUCCAGGCUCAGUGUAGUCCUGGUCCUUUAUAUGAACCAGUCUCACUUUAGUCCCGAUCCACUAUGCGAACCAGUCUCACUUUAGUCCUGAUCCACUAUACGAACCAGUCUCACUUUAGUCCUGAUCCACUAUAUGAAUCAGGCUCAUUUUGGUCCUGGUCCUCUAUGUGACCUUCAACAGGACACAAGUCCAUCACAGAGUAGAGGGUCCAUCUCGGCAUAGUUGGGGUUCUGGAGGGAGGAGGACUCAGCUCCAGAACAACAUCCUCCUGCAGGAGCAGAGCUUCGCCUCUCUGGAGACCCGCAAUGUGUUGCUGGACCCGCUGGAGGGACAGGACCCCCGGCAGGACCAGGACCAGGACUGAGAGGGUUCUGUAGAUGGACCGUGGUGAGAGGAGAACGCUUUUGAUAAAAACCCUCAAAUAUGAAGUCUGAUCCCUUCAGAGGCACAAACUGAAGCUCGGCGUCCUUUUUCCAGUCGAACCAAACGUCUUCUUUUAAACACUCGUUUGUAGGCGCAUUUUUCUGUUUGAUAUCUUUUAUUUGUAAUUGCAUGGUUUUGAUCGAACACCUCGUCUCCCCCGGAGGACGUUGUGUUCUGAUAACGGUACUGGAGGUCCUCCUCGUCCUCCUCGUCCUCUCGGUCUUUGCUGCCUGUGCGUCUCCCGUGAAGCUGCCUCCCUCCAUCAACCUUCUACUGACGCCCCAAAACAAACGCUGCCAAAUUGGUCUCAAUAAGCCAAAAGUUUCCGUGUAGACGUGGUUUAAGUGUUUCACAUGUUAAACCUCAUCCCGUCAAUGUUACGUUGUGUUUUUAACAGAAAAAAGAAAUCCUGUUUGUUAAACUGUUGAUAAUAUAUGCAGACGAGUUAUGAAAUAAACUGGAACAUACUCAGACGUGUUUGUUGGUGCUUGAGUUUCUCCAGAUGAUGGAGAUGGAAAUAAUAAAGGAAAG
Long non-coding RNA from Gasterosteus aculeatus aculeatus (three-spined stickleback), 3427 nucleotides. NCBI's taxonomy places the organism in Eukaryota, Metazoa, Chordata, Actinopteri, Perciformes, Gasterosteidae. The record is from Ensembl.